Molecule: ribosomal RNA, 403 nt
Filed under: uncultured microorganism
Description: bacterial SSU rRNA
Rfam family: Bacterial small subunit ribosomal RNA
Source: RNAcentral
GAGUUUGAUCCUGGCUCAGAUUGAACGCUGGCGGCAUGCCUUACACAUGCAAGUCGAACGGCAGCAUGAUCUAGCUUGCUAGAUUGAUGGCGAGUGGCGAACGGGUGAGUAAUAACAUCGGAACGUGCCCUGUAGUGGGGGAUAACUAGUCGAAAGAUUAGCUAAUACCGCAUACGACCUGAGGGUGAAAGUGGGGGACCGCAAGGCCUCAUGCUAUAGGAGCGGCCGAUGUCUGAUUAGCUAGUUGGUGGGGUAAAGGCCCACCAAGGCGACGAUCAGUAGCUGGUCUGAGAGGACGAUCAGCCACACUGGGACUGAGACACGGCCCAGACUCCUACGGGAGGCAGCAGUGGGGAAUUUUGGACAGUGGGCGAAAGCCUGAUCCAGCAAUGCCGCGUGUGUG